UCAGAGCCAUUUCUCAUUCCCUGUAACGUAAUCCACUUGGCUGUUUAUUCCCAGUACAACUGCUGGAAUCAACAUUGUCAGCUUUUCCCCUGACAACUUGCUUACUUUCCACUAAACAAACUUCCCUUGAGAAGAGAAGCUGCUCUCCCCUAUCCUCUUUCCCUCGCUGCUUCAAAGCCCUCGAGCAUUGCUCGCAUUUUUUUGCAGAACCCGCGGAGCAGAGGUGCUACCUGGUUAUCAGCUCCGCUCUUACCCUUUCCAAGUGUGUUUACAGGAGGGUUCAUGAGGGUUUAGCAACAACUCUCCGGGAAGGAGAGAGCAAUUUCAUUGUCAUAUUACCUAAGGAACUAUUUUAAUGUCCUUUAACUCCCUCUGAAUGUGUGCAGAGCAACUUCAUAAUUGUUAUGAAGUUUAAUCUUUUAUUUCAUAGACAUCGUCUGAGAACAUGGGCUCUAGACAGCUAAGCAUAAUAUUUAACUGGAACUCUACUAACUUGUGUAAAUAUUUCCCUUCCCCGUGAUGGAUCUGGUGUUUGGGGUGGGCAGAGGGUUGUACAUCUGUUGCAGAAGGGCAUUCCUUACCUUCCAGAUCCAAUCAGGCAGAGUUUGCUUGAGGACUUCUUUUUGUUCUGCACGUUUCUGUGCAGUGCCGGAGGGAGUCCCCGAUGGAAGGGCUGAGCAUGCAGGGAUGGAUUGUCCAGGGAUCCCCAAAAAGAAGCCCCUUGGUCUCAUGCAGUGCAUGCUCUGCUCUGAGUGUGGCUCUGCAGACCUGCUGCAGUGUAAGCCAGGAUGCACUCAGCAGUUGCACACAGUCCCCAGCGUGCUCCCAGCCACCAGGCAGGCUGUGUGCCUGCACUGGGAGUUCGGCUGCUCCCAGCAGCAGGUACCUCCCAGGUAAGAGUGUCUUAAAAUGCAAUGUGUUUUCUGCGCUAAGACGCAACUGAGACUGAGUGAAAGCAGGCAGGCUUUCUGGCUCUUGCUCCUCCAGGAACACAUGUUGCGCUCUGGCUUAGGCCACUUCAAUUCCUCUAGAUAAGCAUGAGCUCUCCUCUGCUCCUGUCUGCAGCUUUCUCUUGCAUCUUGCAUUUGUUUUCUGUAUGUGAUCUCUGCAGGCUUACCACACCUGCCUCCCUGAGAUGAGUGAUAGCCUUUGAUCUGUGACAGUGCUCUUCAAAUGCUGUAUAACAUUUUGAGGCUUAUUAAUCUUCACUGCUUCCCCAUGCUGCUGGGAGAUAGGUAUCUCGUUUCACACGUCAGCAUCUCCUGUGCUUGUGGGGCAACUGUGAUGGAGCGGGAGGACACAUGGAGCUGCCUGCCCUAUGGAAACCACUGGUGGGAUGGGAGAGAAUGGUGGAUCCUGCCCUAGGCCACACAAAUUGGUUUCGGCGCUGUUAUUAAGUAAAUUCCAUUAAGCCUAAUGGAAGGGGGAAUUGCUCAGGAGGUCAACAGGCAUACAUGAGAAACUGUCCCCUCCUGCAUGUGCAUGAAGUGUUAAGUGUAACUGAGCUUCCCAAGGUACAAGGAUGGACCAUAAAUAGUGCAUUUGCCUUCAGGAGUUCCCAUCUUGAGGAAACAAAACAAUGCCUCCCUCCUUCUAAACAGCAGAAAAAUGUCUCCUCUUUCUGCUCAGCCUUCUGCUUGUGGCUGCAAAGCAGAUUGCUUGCUGCACCAGCAGCUCUGUGAUGACAGCCCUCCAGGCUGUCCUACCACAACACAUCCACAUCAGAAAGACAGAGAACAACCGCAGGGUGGGUGUUGGGAACCCCCCCAUCACCCUGUGGGAUGCAACCCCCAAAAGCAGAGAUGGAGGAAAGGGCCCUUGUGCAAUUGUGUUCCCAGCCCCACUGAGAGACCUGGGAGACUCAGUGGAGGCUACUGGGAAUAGAGGUGAGAGCUAUAGGAGAGUGCCUUUCACCGUCUGUUUCCAAGUUGCAAUCGAGUGUUUCACACUGGCAUCCAAUUAGGCCUGUUAAGGCCAUUAGCUAACCCAAACCCUGCCAUAAGAGAAGCUGUGAGCCGCAUGGAAGGUUUUUCUUGGACAGAGCAGUUUUGGAGAUAUCAGCAGCCAGUGUGCGUGGAAUGGCAUGGAGCAGAAGUGAGGACAGCGUGUCUUCAUGAAGCUUUGCAAACAAGAAGCUGACUUGCAGAAGUAUGGUUUUCUCCUCUCUUCAAUAAUGUUCAAGCUAUGUGUGAUCCAACCCCGCAGAUGAGCAUGAAAUGUUCCAUCGUGUUUUCAUUAUUUGUUUGAAAACGGGAAUUGUCAAGAUCCCUUUUGCUUUAAUUACCUGAGGCUGCAGCACCCUGGAGUGCCUUUUUACGCUCUCCAGAAUGUGCCCUUGGGAUGGGACGGUCUGAGUGCUGCAGCAGAUGCUUUCGGAAGAAAGUUGUUGGCGUGAGCGGCUGAAAAUAGCAGCCUGUUUACAAGGCUGGUUUUGCAUUAUCAGCUGUAGUGCUCCAAUAAUUAAGGCUGUGAACUUAAUUAGCUCAGCACUCCAUAAUUCUUUCCCCCCUCUCUUGGGGCUCAGCUGCACACAGCUCUGUACUGCCUCAGCGUGUGCUGGGAACAUCCUCAUCCCAGGGGGCUGUGUGAACGCGGUACCACCAUAACUGCCCCGAGUGCCGUGCUCUGAUUUAGAGUACACAAGCCCUCCAUGGGGCUUUAGAGAGAGCCCAU
This is a long non-coding RNA of Numida meleagris (helmeted guineafowl), 2673 nucleotides long. RefSeq lists it as uncharacterized. The transcript is spliced from 3 exons. The record is from RefSeq and is a predicted model, not a curated record. NCBI's taxonomy places the organism in Eukaryota, Metazoa, Chordata, Aves, Galliformes, Numididae.